UUAUUUUUUUAAUAUUCUAUAUUAUUUGUAUUGGUAUCUAGGCUAUACCUUUCUACCUUUUGGUAUUAUGCAUACCCAGAGUCACGUGUUAUUUGUAAGUUUCCAGCCGCCAUUUUUGGAAUUUUGAAGCGAUCAGAAGAAAGAAAUCUGUGAUUUAUUUGCCACAAAAGCAUGUAUUGCUCAACUCAUGGACUGCAGUUUUUGGCAAUUUUCAACAAUGGAAGAAAACUUGAAACAGAAACCAAGAUACAGAUAUCAGCAGUUAAUGUAUAAUGUACAGAUGCCCUUAAACAUGUUAAAGUGUUUGAUGAAGUAAAGAGCAAGAUACUAUCCCAUUUAGCAGCGAUACUGCAUGACUUUAAUUCCCAGACAAUAUGACAAAGAAUACCGAUUGGCAUGAUUGGACACCAAUAUAUAGUUCACACAUGAGAAUUACUGAGAAGAUGUUUUCAGGGUAAACCACAUUGCACUGAAAUUAUUCAAAUAAUUUAAAGAUAUUAAGCAAAUAUUUAAAGAAAUUGUCUGUCUUCCAAUUACACAGAAGUCAACAACUAUAGGUCACUGUAAGCCUUUAACAAAGAGCAAAACUAACACCACAUAGUCAGCUGUAAAAAGACCCAAAAUAAAAAAUGUAAAACAAUUCAAACGAGAAAACUAAUGGCCCUAUUUAUGUAAAAAAUAAUAUGUAACUCAGCAACAAACAACAAUUACUGAAUUACAGGUUCUUGACAUGGGACAGGCACAUACAGAAUGUGCAGGGUUAAACUUGUUUGAAGGUGCCAUUCUCCUUCCCCUAACCGGGAACAGCGCUGAACAUUAUUAAGAGUCAUUAUAACAACAAACUAUAAAAAUCAAUUGAAAAAUGCUUAAUAGCUCAUCUCAUCGGAUAUGAAUAGGAAUACAUCUAAAAAGAACCAAAAAAACUAGAAAACUAACAGCCUAAAGUUAUUAAUGAAUGAAAAACAAAUAUUUAACACAGCAACAAGAGACAACCACUGAAUUACAGGCACAUACACUAAGGAUAGAUCUGUUACUGACAGCUGGUUCAUGUAGUUCAAAGCCAAUAAUAAUUAAUAAAAUUCAUGCAUCUAAGACUAAAUAAUUAAUCAAUACACCUGCAAUGUUCAGCCACUGGAUUUAGUGAUAAGGCGUCAUAAACAGUCAGAGAAAAACAUGACCAUGUGCAAUGCCAAGAUACAGGUAUUGACAGAAUUGUAGAUCCCUGAAUGUGCAUAUGUAAACAACUACAAUUAUAGUUUGUUUUUAAUUUACAGAUAACAAAUCAAUAACAAUACCAAAAAAAAACCAGUAUUCAAAGAUCUAAUAACUAAUUAUUGUGUUGAUUUAAUAACCUUUUCGAAUAAAUUAAUUUAAAAGAUAGAUAUAGUCUUUUCUAUACUUCUGGGCUCAAAAAGCAACAUGUGAUCAAUAUAUACAUUUGUUGUUUUUUUUCAUAUGAGGCAGACUUCAUACAUGUACAGGAGCUUCUUUGGAGGUUUGAAAAGAAGCAUUAUCCUAGACUUCACAAUUUGCUAUAAAGAUCCUCUUAUUGAAUAAUUCAAAGUAUGGUAACUUUGUUGAAUGCAUGUAUCCUAUUGAACUUGAAAUAAAGGAUACAACAGAUACAGAUGAAUCAUUGCUGGGUCCUUGAAAACCCUACUGGAACUUCUUCUGAUACUGGAAAUUGAAAACAACUGCUCAUUUUGGAAGAAAAUUAACAGAGGAAAGAUACAGAUAUGCAAGAAUUUAAUAUUUGAAAUGCACUUAAUAUUUCUUUUGUAUAUGGCACCUAUUUUUGACUGUCAAAUAAUGGUAUUGUUGUUAUCUUUGCCAUAUAAACAAAUAUACCUGAUCAAAUUUGUUCAUUAGUAGAAACUUAGAUUUCAAAUAUCUAUUCACAUAAGGUGAUUUUUUUCACAAUUUUUUCUUAUUUUAAAAAUAAAACUAUUUUGAUUUGUCUGAAGUUCAUUUCAUAAAAAUUUCAAAUUCUAAAUGAGACCUGAUUUAGCGCAUACUCCAUCACAAAUUGAGAUAACGUUAGUAUUGUUUUUGGAGUAUCCAUUAUUCUAAUACGGCCAACGUAUUGACAGGUCUUCAUAUUAGUGUGUCCAGCAUAUCAUUGAUUCAAGAACAGUAAAUAGUGAAAAUUAACAUAAAUAUUUAAAAAAAAUUAUUUUGGUUUAACAUUAUUUUUUUUCACAGUUGUGCAUCAUAAUUUUUUCAAAUGUCUUCUUAUAACAGGAUUUUAACAAAAACUUAUACAGAUGUAUUAAGAUAGUUCAAAAUGAUUGACAAAUUUUUAAACUUGUAUUAGGAAGUCAGAAAAAAUUGAUAAAUACUAUAGGCCUUAUAUGUAUUCCAUAGGACAGAUUUCAUUUUUGUCCAUAUUUGUAUAAAUGUUGCACCUUUAUUUUAUCUUUUUGUAGAUUUGUAUGUGGCUCCACUCAUCACCUAUUGACUUGUUGGUUAUAUUUAUAUAUAUAUGAAUAUUUAGCAAAUAAUGGUGGAAAUCUGAUUUUUUUUAGAAUACAGUCAUGAAUUUUGCGAAAUAAUGCAAAAAUUAAUGUUUUAACCAAAUCCACCUACAUUUAUGAUGAUGCAAAUACAUCAAAUACAGAAAAACUUUUUUGAAAUGAUGGUUGUAAAAUAU
Mytilus trossulus (common blue mussel) is the source of this 2650-nucleotide long non-coding RNA. RefSeq lists it as uncharacterized. The record is from RefSeq and is a predicted model, not a curated record. Lineage: Eukaryota; Metazoa; Mollusca; Bivalvia; Mytilida; Mytilidae. The transcript is spliced from 5 exons.